Molecule: long non-coding RNA, 516 nt
Organism: Homo sapiens (human)
Lineage: Eukaryota; Metazoa; Chordata; Mammalia; Primates; Hominidae
Source: Ensembl
UAGUGAAGCUACACCAUUCCCAAGUUGAUUAAAGUAAAAAACAAAAACAAAAAAAUCCCUGUCAGAAUUUUGCUUCUCAUGGCACUUAAGGAAUCUGGGUGGCAUGGGAAUAUGGACAGGCUUUUAAAAUUCUUUCAUUAUUGACUUCUACCCGAUGACUGACACUACUGUUAGGGCUCCAGCUGCAAGUUAAGACUAACAGAUCUCUUCCACAGGUGUCUCAGGAACACAGCAGCAGGUAGAUCCAAAAAUAACCUGGAGGAGAACCAGAGCAAGAAAGGCUAACGGACGUAUGUAAACCAUGCUAGAAGAUAAGAGAUCUGGAUGGAUAGGUUACCGAACUCGGACAAAGUGAAAAGAAUGUCUCGUUUUCCUAAUUAAUGCGUUGUAAAAGUUGCAUUACUGUCUGAAUAUGACUGGCAAAUUUUGUCAUAUCCAGAUAUUGAAACUCAUAACUAAGUUAUCAGAGUAAUAAUCUUUUGUUUAAAAAUAGGGGUCUGGGUGUCUUUCUGUGCC